Molecule: transfer RNA, 73 nt
Filed under: Vicugna pacos (alpaca)
Lineage: Eukaryota; Metazoa; Chordata; Mammalia; Artiodactyla; Camelidae
Description: tRNA-Ala (GGC) (tRNA-Ala-GGC-14-1)
Rfam family: tRNA
About the family: Transfer RNA (tRNA) molecules are approximately 80 nucleotides in length. Their secondary structure includes four short double-helical elements and three loops (D, anti-codon, and T loops). Further hydrogen bonds mediate the characteristic L-shaped molecular structure. tRNAs have two regions of fundamental functional importance: the anti-codon, which is responsible for specific mRNA codon recognition, and the 3' end, to which the tRNAs corresponding amino acid is attached (by aminoacyl-tRNA synthetases). tRNAs cope with the degeneracy of the genetic code in two manners: having more than one tRNA (with a specific anti-codon) for a particular amino acid; and 'wobble' base-pairing, i.e. permitting non-standard base-pairing at the 3rd anti-codon position.
Source: RNAcentral
GGAGGGUAUAGCUCAGUGGUAGAGCACAUGUUUGGCAUGCAUGAGGUCCUGGGUUCAAUCCCCAGUACCUCCA